Molecule: non-coding RNA, 188 nt
Organism: Zea mays
Lineage: Eukaryota; Viridiplantae; Streptophyta; Magnoliopsida; Poales; Poaceae
Source: Rfam
AUACAUUUCUCGGUCUUUUGACUAAUAUAAAGUGCAAUAUUUUUUCUUUUAGUUUAAUAUCUAGUAUAUAGAAAAUAUGUUCAAUUUGAUAUAAGAUUUAUUUAUUAUGGAUAUUUUGUGGGAGGCUCCACCAUACUGACUUACUAGGCCCUUACGCAUCGCUCAACCAUUGUAAGGUCUGUCCACCC